Molecule: ribosomal RNA, 484 nt
Filed under: uncultured bacterium
Lineage: Bacteria
Description: partial 16S ribosomal RNA
Rfam family: Bacterial small subunit ribosomal RNA
Source: RNAcentral
AUUGAACGCUGGCGGCAUGCUUUACACAUGCAAGUCGAACGGCAGCGCGGGCUUCGGCCUGGCGGCGAGUGGCGAACGGGUGAGUAAUACAUCGGAACGUGCCCAGUAGUGGGGGAUAGCUCGGCGAAAGCCGGAUUAAUACCGCAUACGACCUGAGGGUGAAAGCGGGGGAUCUUCGGACCUCGCGCUAUUGGAGCGGCCGAUGGCAGAUUAGCUAGAUGGUGGGGUAAAGGCCUACCAAAGCGACGAUCUGUAGCUGGUCUGAGAGGACGACCAGCCACACUGGGACUGAGACACGGCCCAGACUCCUACGGGAGGCAGCAGUGGGGAAUUUUGGACAAUGGGCGAAAGCCUGAUCCAGCAAUGCCGCGUGUGUGAUGAAGGCCUUCGGGUUGUAAAACACUUUUGGCGGGAACGAAAAGGACUGUGCCAAUACCACGGUUCGAUGACGGUACCCGCAGAAUAAGCACCGGCUAACUACGUG